Molecule: ribosomal RNA, 465 nt
Filed under: uncultured bacterium
Lineage: Bacteria
Description: partial 16S ribosomal RNA
Rfam family: Bacterial small subunit ribosomal RNA
Source: RNAcentral
CCUACGGGUGGCAGCAGUGGGGAAUAUUGCGCAAUGGGCGAAAGCCUGACGCAGCGAAGCCGCGUGAGGGAUGAAGGUCUUCGGAUCGUAAAACUCUGUCAGCAGGGAAGAACGGUCACUGUGCUAAUCAGCAGUGAAUUGACGGUACCUGCAAAGGAAGCACCGGCUAACUCCGUGCCAGCAGCCGCGGUAAUGCGGAGGGUGCGUGCGUUAAUCGGAAUUACUGGGCGUAAAGCGGUCGUAGGUGGUAUGUCAAGUCAAGGGUGAAAGCCCCGGGCUCAACGUGGGACCUGCCGGUGAAACUGGCAGACUGGAGUGUGUGAGAGGAUAGUGGAAUUCCAGGUGUAGGAGUGAAAUGCGUAGAUAUCUGGAGGAACAUCAGUGGCGAAGGCGACUAUCUGGCACAUAACUGACGCUGAGGAGCGAAAGCGUGGGUAGCAAACAGGAUUAGAUACCCGAGUAGUC